CUAUUCGAUAUGGACCACUGCCUCAGUUCUGUGGACCUUUCGGGCCUCGGCCAAUUCCUCCACCCUUUGGCCCUGGUAUGCGUCCACCACUAGGCUUAAGAGAAUUUUCAGCAGGAAGAUGGGACCUGCCACUCCGCCCUCAGGAAUUUUUACCAGGACAUGCACCAUUUAUACCUUUAGGUCCUCUUGGCCCAAGAGAGUACGUUAUUCCUGGUACCCAAUUACCAUCCCCAACCCAUAUUCCCAAAGAUUAACCACCACUACCUGCCACAAGAGACUUACUGCCAACAUGCUCUAGAGAUGAGCCUUCUCCUGCCUCUCAGAGCACUAGUCAGGACUGUUCACCGGCUUUAAAGCAGAGCUCAUAACUAUGACCUCUGAUGUUUCAUUGGAGAAAAAAUGGACUGUACAUUAUUCAUUACAGUAAAGGAUUUCAUUGGCUUCAAAAUCCAAGUUUAUUUUAAAAGAUCUGUUGUUAGAACUAAGCUUCCUUGGCAGUAUGCAUUUUUGAGCCAAACAAUUCAGAAAUGUCAUUUCUUCCCUAAAUAAAAAUCACCUUUUAAGCUAUAGCAUCCUUACUACUUUGAAAUGUGCAAUAAAGAACACUUGUGUUUUAGCUAA
Molecule: long non-coding RNA, 621 nt
Organism: Sapajus apella (tufted capuchin)
Lineage: Eukaryota; Metazoa; Chordata; Mammalia; Primates; Cebidae
Exons: 2
Source: RefSeq, a predicted model, not a curated record